AGAGUUUGAUCCUGGCUCAGAACGAACGCUGGCGGCAGGCUUAACACAUGCAAGUCGAACGCACCUUCGGGUGAGUGGCAGACGGGUGAGUAACGCGUGGGAACGUGCCCUUCAGUUCGGAAUAACCCAGGGAAACUUGGGCUAAUACCGGAUACGUGCGAGAGCAGAAAGAUUUAUCGCUGAAGGAUCGGCCCGCGUCUGAUUAGCUAGUUGGUGGGGUAAUGGCCCACCAAGGCGACGAUCAGUAGCUGGUCUGAGAGGAUGAUCAGCCACAUUGGGACUGAGACACGGCCCAAACUCCUACGGGAGGCAGCAGUGGGGAAUAUUGGACAAUGGGCGCAAGCCUGAUCCAGCCAUGCCGCGUGAGUGAUGAAGGCCUUAGGGUUGUAAAGCUCUUUCGGCGGGGACGAUAAUGACGGUACCCGCAGAAGAAGCCCCGGCUAACUUCGUGCCAGCAGCCGCGGUAAUACGAAGGGGGCUAGCGUUGUUCGGAAUCACUGGGCGUAAAGGGCGCGUAGGCGGCUUGAUAAGUCGGGGGUGAAAGCCUGUGGCUCAACCACAGAAUUGCCUUCGAUACUGUCUGGCUUGAGACCGGAAGAGGUAAGUGGAACUGCGAGUGUAGAGGUGAAAUUCGUAGAUAUUCGCAAGAACACCAGUGGCGAAGGCGGCUUACUGGUCCGGUUCUGACGCUGAGGCGCGAAAGCGUGGGGAGCAAACAGGAUUAGAUACCCUGGUAGUCC
This 740-nucleotide ribosomal RNA is filed under the name uncultured Hyphomicrobiales bacterium. RNAcentral describes it as "bacterial SSU rRNA". It matches the Rfam family "Bacterial small subunit ribosomal RNA", at positions 8 to 796 of the family's 1533-position model. The record is from RNAcentral. Lineage: Bacteria; Pseudomonadati; Pseudomonadota; Alphaproteobacteria; Hyphomicrobiales.